This 895-nucleotide ribosomal RNA is filed under the name Pristionchus maupasi. RNAcentral describes it as "eukaryotic LSU rRNA". The stretch from base 428 to 577 matches the Rfam family "5.8S ribosomal RNA". Lineage: Eukaryota; Metazoa; Nematoda; Chromadorea; Rhabditida; Neodiplogasteridae. The record is from RNAcentral.
CGUCGCUGCCCGGGACUGAGUUGCCUCGAGAAAUGCGGGGACUUUCGGCGUUGAGUUUCUCUUCGCUGAUGGGAACCGCAUUAAUCGCAGUGGCUUGAACCGGGCAAAAGUCGUAACAAGGUGCGAUUAGGAGAACCUGACCGCGGAUCAUUGUCGAUCAACCUAUUACGUACUGUAAUUUGACUGAAUUGUUUGGAUUGAACGAAUGUUUGGUUUUGAAUGUUACGGAACUGUCUGGUUGCUGUGUGGCGUCUGUCGGAGUGUGCUCUUCCGUGCACAUAGGCGGUCACGUCAGCUAUAGCUCUAGCUAUAGUGAGCAUUAAAGAUCAACACGGCCUCGAAGUGUUGGCGCCGACAAACUCUUGCUUUGGACAUCGAAAUAUAACCUAGUCUCGUGGUGCUUCGGCGCUACUUGGCGAAACUGUACAACUCUACGUGGUGGAUCACUAGAGUCCUGGUUCGAUGAAGAUCGCAGCUAGCUGCGAUAAGUAGUGCGACUUGCAGAUACAAUGAGCACGAAAUCGUUGAAUGCACAUUGCGCUGGCGAGAAAUCGUCAGCAUGUAUGGAUUAGUGUUGAAUGUACUAUUGUGUCAUUCCGAUCGAAUGACUUUGUCGUGGCGCGAGCUUCUCGGUAAGUUCCCGUCAUCAGAUCUAUCGUGGCAACACUUGCUCGUGUGGUAACUCUCACUUGCAAACCGCACCUCGUCGUGCCUUCGUACUGUCGUUUCGUGAUAGGACGUUGCUUCGUAGUAAGCCGCCGCUCUUGGCUUACUUGCGUGCAUUACCCUAUUCCCGUCGUGCCUUGUGUGCGGGCGAAACUUCGGCUUGUGAAGGCUGACAAUGAGGAUACUAGUAUGAAUCAACCUAAUCUCAUGCAUGACUACCCGCUGAACU